ACAUCACAUUGAAUUGCCAGUUCCCUUACAAUCACUGAAGUUAAGCAAUGUCAAGCCUGGACAAUACCUAGAUUGGUUACCACUUGGGAAUACCAGGUGCUGUAA
Non-coding RNA from Acanthosepion pharaonis, 105 nucleotides. The record is from the annotation of a GenBank genome assembly. Lineage: Eukaryota; Metazoa; Mollusca; Cephalopoda; Sepiida; Sepiidae.